Molecule: ribosomal RNA, 404 nt
Filed under: Fusobacteriota bacterium
Lineage: Bacteria; Fusobacteriati; Fusobacteriota
Description: Fusobacteria bacterium partial 16S ribosomal RNA
Rfam family: Bacterial small subunit ribosomal RNA
Source: RNAcentral
UGGGGAAUAUUGCACAAUGGAGGGAACUCUGAUGCAGCGACGCCGCGUGAGUGAUGAAGGAAUUCGUUUCGUAAAACUCUGUUCUAUGGGAAGAAAAGGACUGUACCAUAGGAGAAAGCUCCGGCUAAAUACGUGCCAGCAGCCGCGGUAAUACGUAUGGAGCGAGCGUUGUCCGGAAUUAUUGGGCGUAAAGGGCUUGUAGGCGGUUUGUCGCGCCUGUCGUGUAAUCCUCUGGCUUAACUGGGGGUGUGCGGUGGGUACGGGCAAGCUUGAGUGCGGUAGGGGAGAUUGGAAUUCCUGGUGUAGCGGUGGAAUGCGCAGAUAUCAGGAGGAACACCGGUGGCGAAGGCGGGUCUCUGGGCCGUUACUGACGCUGAGGAGCGAAAGCGUGGGGAGCGAACAGG